This 957-nucleotide long non-coding RNA is filed under the name Capsella grandiflora. RNAcentral's name for it is "long non-coding RNA (CGRA_LNC000559)". Lineage: Eukaryota; Viridiplantae; Streptophyta; Magnoliopsida; Brassicales; Brassicaceae. The record is from RNAcentral.
AGAGCGUUCCCAUGGCUCCGAUUCAUCUCCCCUGAAGUUACCUCCUUUCAUCUCCAACUUGUUCCCUUUUCUCAAACCUAAGCCUCCUGUUACUGCUACUGAUGCAAAUGGUGGUUCUAAGGCCGUCUCCGGAGAGAAGGAACCUCAGAACUCGGUUGUCUCUUUCCCUUACAAUCCACCCAAAAGCGCAGCAGAGCCCCUGAAGGUUGAGGUUGAGCCCAGCUCCGGCAGGACUUCCAACUCCGUCAUCCUUUGGCAGGUGAUUUUGAUGAGAUGUGUAUUGUCAGGGAUUUCUUUGAUGAAAAUCAUGGAAUUGUGAUUUGAAUUUGGCUUUUUAUUUAUAACUGAGUUUGGUGAGAGGUGCUUUGUUAUGUUAUUUAUGAGGGGAACAAUGUGAAAGGGUAGGGACCAUGGCUGAUUCAAGGCAGAUGUUUCUAAUUAUGACUCUGGGUGUGACUCAGAUUAACGCGUCCUGUUACUUGAAACUAUUCUGGCUUUUUCUUUACUAAUAGGGAAAUAGUUGAGUUGAUAUCUUGAUUUGCAAAAGUGGCUCUGCAGUUUUUUAUGUUCCGUUGGUUUUAAUCAGUUGUAGUCUGCUGCAUUGAUUGUCAAAAAUGGUUAAGAGUUUUUGUUAUGCUCCAUAAAUUCUGCUUAUUGCAUGUGUUAGAACGCUUUAGAUGACCUUUAACAAUUAGUUGGAUGACGCCUCAUUUGUGUGGGUUAUUGGAGAUUGAAGUAGCAUGCUAUUUGGUAUGUGCUCCUUUUCAAUUGCUUUCCUAACUAUUCAACAGUGUGAUCAGUAUUCACAUUGGAUUGCAAGUUUGGUAUCAAUCAUAGCUGUCAUUUGAUACCAUGAUUUGAUGCCUGCGCCUCUAGAUGUUUAUAUGUUCUGAUAUCCUGCAAAAAAUUGAAUUCUUUCAUGGUUGUUUCAUCAGUGGAUAUUCUCUAAACUAUUUC